RNAcentral lists this ribosomal RNA (491 nucleotides) under uncultured bacterium. Its description in RNAcentral is "partial 16S ribosomal RNA". It matches the Rfam family "Bacterial small subunit ribosomal RNA", at positions 28 to 507 of the family's 1533-position model. The record is from RNAcentral.
GAUGAACGCUGUCUACAGGCUUAACACAUGCAAGUCGAGGGGAAACGACGGGGAAGCUUGCUUCCCCGGGCGUCGACCGGCGCACGGGUAAGUAACGCGUAUCCAACCUGCCUCUGACUGAGGGAUAACCCGUCGAAAGUCGGCCUAAUACCUCAUGGCAUCGUCUGCGGGCAUCCAACGACGAUUAAAGAUUUCAUCGGUCAGGGAUGGGGAUGCGUCUGAUUAGCUUGUUGGCGGGGUAACGGCCCACCAAGGCUACGAUCAGUAGGGGUUCUGAGAGGAAGGUCCCCCACAUUGGAACUGAGACACGGUCCAAACUCCUACGGGAGGCAGCAGUGAGGAAUAUUGGUCAAUGGGCGGGAGCCUGAACCAGCCAAGUAGCGUGCAGGAUGACGGCCCUAUGGGUUGUAAACUGCUUUUAUGCGGGGAUAAAGUGAGGGACGUGUCCUUCAUUGCAGGUACCGCAUGAAUAAGGACCGGCUAAUUCCGUG